This is a long non-coding RNA of Neofelis nebulosa (Clouded leopard), 1035 nucleotides long. RefSeq lists it as uncharacterized. The transcript has 4 exons. Lineage: Eukaryota; Metazoa; Chordata; Mammalia; Carnivora; Felidae. The record is from RefSeq and is a predicted model, not a curated record.
GCCCCGCUCCGCCGUGCGUUCGCCGCGCGCGCCCGCUGCCCUCGGGCGCCCGGGAAACUUCGGGGCCGGGGCGCGGAGAGAGCCGGCUGGCUCCGUCGGCAGCACGGUUCCCAGACUGAGGACGGGGGCUCCAGGUGGGAUCCGUAUGUGAUGACAAGAGCUGUAGCGGCCACCUUGGCGUCAAGGAUGAAGGUCAUAUCUGGAGGAUGAUAGCAUCAUCUGAUCUUUGAUCUGUUACAAGAUCUCACAUUGGAGCAUAUUUGCUUGCCUCAUUAUUUUCCAUACGUAUUACUCCAUGGUAUGUGAAGUGAGAGACUGUCUCAUUCCAAUAACUAAGGAAUUGAACCACCAUAUUGUGGACAGCCCUAUGGAGAGACUUAUGUGGCAGGAACUGAGACCUCUGGCCACAGCCCAUGAGGGCCUGAGAGCUGCCAACUGCCAAGAGAGUGAUGGUGGAAGUAGGUCCUUCUCCAGUCAAGCCUUGAGGUGCCCACAGCCCUGCUGAUGCUGUGAUGACAAUCUUGUGAGACACUGAGUCAGAGGCUGUGCCUCACAGAAACUGUGAGGUAAUGUUUGUUGUCAAAAGCUGCUAAAUUUGGGGAUAAUUUGGCACGUAGCAAAGGAGAACGAAUACAUCAUCAAAAUGGAAGAACUAUUUUGCAACCGAAACACGGUACUAAGACACCAAGUUUCCUCUAUCUUUUGCACGUGUGAGCUUUGCCAAUGAACUCACUUAACCUUUCUGACUUCCAUUUCCUCAUCCGUCAUAUGGGGAUAGUAAACCCCAAAACCCCAUACAAUUGUUCAUUUAUUUAACCUUUCCUAUAACACUCAUUAGAGAGUGUCCUACUCCACAAAGUGGCUCCAUUUCUUGCUUGUGGAAAGAAAGCACCUUUGUGAGGCUGUGGAAGAUAAAAUACCAGGUUUUGAAAUGCAGAUUUUGUUUUGGGAAGACUCAAAUUAGAUCAGUGUGCUCAUCCUGACUUUGUUAAAUAAGAAUUCGAGGCCAAAUAUGUGUAAGUGUUGCAGGAUUUU